This is a long non-coding RNA of Solenopsis invicta (red fire ant), 1917 nucleotides long. RefSeq lists it as uncharacterized. The record is from RefSeq and is a predicted model, not a curated record. The transcript is spliced from 2 exons. Lineage: Eukaryota; Metazoa; Arthropoda; Insecta; Hymenoptera; Formicidae.
CAUUACAAACACAAACAAGAUGUGCAGACGUAAAUUGGAUAUACUUAGAUCUUCGGAUAAUGUCUUGAUAUUCAAUACGAUCAGCGCAAUGAAAAGCUUGUACAUUUCUCACGUUCUUUUUCUCUUUCUUUUUGGACAAGAUAGUCUUUGGCGGAGUAUAAAAUGAAAGCUAUUCCAUUAUCAGAGCAAGAUAAGUAAAAACAGUUUUUAUUAUUAUAUACUGACCUCAUUAUGAAACGAUUUCAAUAAACAAGACCGAAUAAAUUAACAUAUGCAAUGUUGAUUAUAACACAUUUACUGCAGAACUCACGAUUAUGAUACUAAAUUAACUGCAAACAACUUUUGUUUUUAUUAUAUUAAUGCAAUUUAUCUGAAAAUGUAUUGAGAUAAAAACAAAAAAUAUAGAAAAAUUAAAAACAAAAAAUUUUGUUGUGUAUUUUAAUCACUUAAUGUAAAUAUAAAAGUGUCAUGAGGAAGUUUAUCUAGAAAUAAUCUUAAAUUCUUAACAUAAUGUAUCGAUUUGUCCACUUACGUGAAGCACCUAAAAUAUAUAUAUGUAAAUAUAUAAAUUGAAACAGAAAUAACACUGUCAAGAUUCUACAAAUUUUUACUAAAAUUAAGAUUUAGAAUUAUAAAGUAUUAAAAUAGAAUACAGUUUUUGUAGAUCUGAUCAAUAACACAUAUAAAGAAACUAAUAUAUAAUUUUGUGUUCCAAACAGAGCGAAAAUGGAAACUAACGUUUGAAACGGUACAACUUCCUAACGAUGUAUCUGCAAAAAUUAGUUACUUUAAACAAAGUUACAUUACAAAUCGUCAAGGUGCAAUCUAAAACCACGAGUAAGCUAUUGACGAGAUUCGAAAACUGAUCUUGAAGUGCUCGAAUAUGUAUCGAUAUUGAAAAUACUGUAGAAUCACUAACAACAAGCUAAAUACAUAAAUUAGCCAAUGAAAUGGAACACGACACACCCGGCCAUACACCAAGCAAUUGGAGCCCGUUCUUCAGUACCGAACUGACAGUACUCGUGACUAUUAUUCAAGAACAGUACUGAGAUCGCGAAGAAAUGAAGAGCAGUGUCCGCACGCCAGUUUGAGAAAUAACUGACAGUUUCCUCAUAUGCAGCCCCACACAACGCAUCCCCACUCGGCUGACUAUGAAUCGCUAUUAUGUUUUGUACAAUAUAGUGCAAUAGCAAAUCGAGAUAGAGCUCACCAUAUUUCUAUGAACAUCCUAUAGUUCUGUUAACAGUCUAAUAACACAUAAUACUUGUAACAAAGAUAUCGGACUUAAAUGCUCAAUGAGUAAUUUGAUGUGUAAUUGAUGUUUCUUUUUUACAAACUCGUCUCUUGGCAACGUAAUUUCAUCGAAAAGAAACAAAUGUCCACUGUACAUACGUCGCAAAAAUCGUUAAACGCACAACAGAACGACGAUAAUUAUGUAAUUAAGUAUUCUAAGCGACCGGAACUAAAUUACAUUCGUGCAGCUCAUCCUCUGGUUUUUAAAGAAAUAAUAUGAGGGGGACACAGCAGAACUCUAAAAUGUGAUAAAGAAUAAUUGCUCUUAAUGGUUCUGGAAAUGUGGAAAAACUUGCUCGGGAAAGGAAUUUCAAAAGUAAAAAGUUUUUAAUUGGAGAUGGUAUAAACAUUUAGUUGUAAACAUGUCUAUACCCACGCAACACAACGUAAAAUAUGUAUAGAUCGAGUUCACGAUUCUUCAAUGAAAGGUCAAUGUCCAAAAAUUCCCCAUGUAUUGCGCAAUAAUUUUCUUUCAAGUGCAUGCACAACGUAGUAACAAUAGUACAUGGAAACAAUCAUCAUGGCAAAAAUCAUUUGCAUUUGUAUUAACUACUUUUUAUUAAACAUAAUUUUAAUUUAUGUAAUUUAUUAACAAUUAAUAAAUGACAUUUAAUAAUUUGUUAA